This 273-nucleotide ribosomal RNA is filed under the name uncultured Staphylococcus sp. RNAcentral's name for it is "partial 16S ribosomal RNA". It matches the Rfam family "Bacterial small subunit ribosomal RNA", at positions 89 to 356 of the family's 1533-position model. Lineage: Bacteria; Bacillati; Bacillota; Bacilli; Caryophanales; Staphylococcaceae. The record is from RNAcentral.
ACGUUAGCGGCGGACGGGUGAGUAACACGUGGGUAACCUACCUAUAAGACUGGGAUAACUUCGGGAAACCGGAGCUAAUACCGGAUAAUAUUUCGGACCGCAUGGUUCGAUAGUGAAAGAUGGUUUUGCUAUCACUUAUAGAUGGACCCGCGCCGUAUUAGCUAGUUGGUAAGGUAACGGCUUACCAAGGCGACGAUACGUAGCCGACCUGAGAGGGUGAUCGGCCACACUGGAACUGAGACACGGUCCAGACUCCUACGGGAGGCAGCAGUG